This is a long non-coding RNA of Phycodurus eques (leafy seadragon), 1280 nucleotides long. RefSeq lists it as uncharacterized. NCBI's taxonomy places the organism in Eukaryota, Metazoa, Chordata, Actinopteri, Syngnathiformes, Syngnathidae. The transcript is spliced from 6 exons. The record is from RefSeq and is a predicted model, not a curated record.
GAUGAGACACUUAGGACGACUGAACCACGUUGCUCUUUUCCCCAACGCAACAUGAUUUUUUGGGGGGCCAAUUCCAUGACCAGGCGGGGACGUAUGUAUGUGUAACGUGGUGCCUUGACUUACAACUUUGGGGGCACCGAUGAAGAGUGGACAUUCUACCUGCGGGCCAGCACGGUGUUAAAGCAAGAACAAGCAACCUUCAGCGCUGAUGACAAGAUAAGCAGCAAGACAGGCGUGAAAUAUGAUCUUCGGCCGUCUCUGAUGAACGGCAGCAUUGACGGACUGUAAAUUGGAAGGCUUGCUUCAUCUUGUCUAUGGUCAACGGCGGUAUUAACGGACAAGGAAAGAAAGCCUACUUUGGCUCAUCUUGUGUAAGUAUAUAGAGGGUUCCCUAAAAGUCACAAAACACGUCCUUUUUUUAAAAUUUCAUUUCAGGUAUCAUUCAGACAGAUGUAAGACCAUCAGUAUUUGACAGCUCAAACUUUGUGGUUUUUGUAAGUAUAUCAUUCCUUUAUUCAUAGUUUGUCAAUUCACGUUGAAUCAGCAUUGCAAAACUGCUUUUGUUUUUCUGUCCUCAACUACAGUUCAGUGCCAGUUUGAGAAGCUUUAUGGCCGUCAAAUGCCUGUGUAGUACAAAUUAGGGUAUCCAUGGCAAGUUUCUAGAAACACGAUUUCUUCUUGACAAACUAUGCAGUAGUAGGCCUGCUACUACUGAUAAAAAUACCAAUUUCCUAGAGCAGGUGUUCACGCAAAGUUAGUUAGGCUGCACUAGAACUCUGCAUCCACAAAAGCUCAAUUCAUCGCAUGCUUCGGAGAGUGAUAAUGCUUUAUCCAUAUCGACUUCAGGUUAUUGGGUAUCAUAAUCUUUUGUUUGAAGCCUUUGAACAACCGGAAGUCCAUACAGGUAAAUAAUUUUUUUUUAAAGCAUCGGCUGAAUCGAGCGUUUGUUGAUGCUGAGUUCCAGUGCACCACUCUGGAUUGACUUUCCCAGGCUUUGCAAGAACGCCUGCUCUAGCAGUUCUGUGUUUUUUUGUUUUGUCUCUCCCCUCCCCCCAGACAGUCAGAAAAACCUAUUGCCAGGUAGAAAUUGGCAAUCCACGGGCAAAGGAAUGACAUGCUUAUAAAAACUGAAAAGCGUAAGCUGCCAUAUGCUGAUGCCUUCACGUCUGUCUGAAUGAUACCUGAAACAAAAUAGAAAGUGUAGUGACAUUUGGGACUAACUGUUUUAUAAGGUGUUAAGUAAAAAUGGGGUCAGACGGUCAUGUUGUCCUGAACUGUAA